Molecule: long non-coding RNA, 4077 nt
Filed under: Oncorhynchus mykiss (rainbow trout)
Lineage: Eukaryota; Metazoa; Chordata; Actinopteri; Salmoniformes; Salmonidae
Description: lncRNA (ENSOMYG00000054811.1)
Source: RNAcentral
AUGAUGAUGUAUCUCAUACUCCUCUACUGCCACCUAGUGUUGUAUCUUAUACUCAUCUACUGCCAACUAGUGUUGUAUCUAAUAGUCCUCUACUGCCACCUAGUGUUGUGUCUAAUACUCCUCUACUGCCAACUAGUGUUGUAUCUAAUAGUCCUCUACUGCCACCUAGUGUUGUAUCUAAUACUCCUCUACUGCCACCUAGUGUUGUGUCUAAUACUCUACUGCCACCUAGUGUUGUGUCUAAUACUCCUCUACUGCCAACUAGUGUUGUAUCUAAUAGUCCUCUACUGCCACCUAGUGUUGUGUCUAAUACUCCUCUACUGCCAACUAGUGUUGUAUCUAAUAGUCCUCUACUGCCACCUAGUGUUGUGUCUAAUACUCCUCUACUGCCACCUAGUGUUGUGUAUAAUACUCCUCUACUGCCACCUAGUGUUGUAUCUAAUACUCUACUGCCACCUAGUGUUGUAUCUAAUAGUCCUCUACUGCCACCUAGUGUUGUGUCUAAUACUCCUCUACUGCCACCUAGUGUUGUAUCUAAUCCUCCUCUACUGCCACCUAGUGUUGUAUCUAAUCCUCCUCUACUGCCACCUAGUGUUGUAUCUAAUACUCCUCUACUGCCACCUAGUGUUGUGUAUAAUACUCCUCUACUGCCACCUAGUGUUGUGUAUAAUACUCCUCUACUGCCACCUAGUGUUGUAUCUAAUAGUCCUCUACUGCCACCUAGUGUUGUAUCUAAUAGUCCUCUACUGCCACCUAGUGUUGUGUCUAAUACUCCUCUACUGCCAACUAGUGUUGUAUCUAAUAGUCCUCUACUGCCACCUAGUGUUGUGUCUAAUACUCCUCUACUGCCACCUAGUGUUGUAUCUAAUAGUCCUCUACUGCCACCUAGUGUUGUUUCUAAUACUCCUCUACUGCCAACUAGUGUUGUAUCUAAUCCACCUCUACUGCCACCUAGUGUUGUAUCUAAUCCUCCUCUACUGCCACCUAGUGUUGUGUCUAAUACUCCUCUACUGCCAACUAGUGUUGUAUCUAAUAGUCCUCUACUGCCACCUAGUGUUGUGUCUAAUACUCCUCUACUGCCACCUAGUGUUGUAUCUAAUCCUCCUCUACUGCCACCUAGUGUUGUGUCUAAUACUCCUCUACUGCCAACUAGUGUUGUAUCUAAUAGUCCUCUACUGCCACCUAGUGUUGUAUCUAAUACUCUACUGCCACCUAGUGUUGUAUCUAAUAGUCCUCUACUGCCACCUAGUGUUGUAUCUAAUCCUCCUCUACUGCCACCUAGUGUUGUAUCUAAUACUCCUCUACUGCCACCUAGUGUUGUAUCUAAUCCUCCUCUACUGCCACCUAGUGUUGUGUCUAAUACUCCUCUACUGCCAACUAGUGUUGUAUCUAAUAGUCCUCUACUGCCACCUAGUGUUGUGUCUAAUACUCUACUGCCACCUAGUGUUGUAUCUAAUAGUCCUCUACUGCCACCUAGUGGUGUGUCUAAUACUCCUCUACUGCCAACUAGUGUUGUAUCUAAUAGUCCUCUACUGCCACCUAGUGUUGUAUCUAAUCCUCCUCUACUGCCACCUAGUGUUGUGUCUAAUACUCCUCUACUGCCAUCUAGUGUUGUAUCUAAUAGUCCUCUACUGCCACCUAGUGUUGUGUCUAAUACUCCUCUACUGCCACCUAGUGUUGUAUCUAAUCCUCCUCUACUGCCACCUAGUGUUGUAUCUCAUACUCCUCUACUGCCACCUAGUGUUGUAUCUAAUCCUCCUCUACUGCCACCUAGUGUUGUGUCUAAUACUCCUCUACUGCCAACUAGUGUUGUAUCUAAUAGUCCUCUACUGCCACCUAGUGUUGUGUCUAAUACUCUACUGCCACCUAGUGUUGUAUCUAAUAGUCCUCUACUGCCACCUAGUGGUGUGUCUAAUACUCCUCUACUGCCAACUAGUGUUGUAUCUAAUAGUCCUCUACUGCCACCUAGUGUUGUAUCUAAUCCUCCUCUACUGCCACCUAGUGUUGUGUCUAAUACUCCUCUACUGCCAACUAGUGUUGUAUCUAAUAGUCCUCUACUGCCACCUAGUGUUGUGUCUAAUACUCCUCUACUGCCACCUAGUGUUGUAUCUAAUCCUCCUCUACUGCCACCUAGUGUUGUAUCUCAUACUCCUCUACUGCCACCUAGUGUUGUAUCUAAUCCUCCUCUACUGCCACCUAGUGUUGUAUCUAAUCCUCCUCUACUGCCACCUAGUGUUGUAUCUAAUCCUCCUCUACUGCCACCUAGUGUUGUAUCUAAUACUCUACUGCCACCUAGUGUUGUAUAUAAUAGUCCUCUACUGCCACCUAGUGUUGUAUCUAAUCCUCCUCUACUGCCACCUAGUGUUGUAUCUAAUACUCCUCUACUGCCACCUAGUGUUGUAUCUAAUCCUCCUCUACUGCCACCUAGUGUUGUGUCUAAUACUCCUCUACUGCCAACUAGUGUUGUAUCUAAUAGUCCUCUACUGCCACCUAGUGUUGUAUCUAAUCCUCCUCUACUGCCACCUAGUGUUGUGUCUAAUACUCCUCUACUGCCAUCUAGUGUUGUAUCUAAUAGUCCUCUACUGCCACCUAGUGUUGUGUCUAAUACUCCUCUACUGCCACCUAGUGUUGUAUCUAAUCCUCCUCUACUGCCACCUAGUGUUGUAUCUCAUACUCCUCUACUGCCACCUAGUGUUGUAUCUAAUCCUCCUCUACUGCCACCUAGUGUUGUAUCUAAUCCUCCUCUACUGCCACCUAGUGUUGUAUCUAAUCCUCCUCUACUGCCACCUAGUGUUGUAUCUAAUCCUCCUCUACUGCCACCUAGUGUUGUAUCUAAUAGUCCUCUACUGCCACCUAGUGUUGUGUCUAAUACUCCUCUACUGCCACCUAGUGUUGUAUCUAAUCCUCCUCUACUGCCACCUAGUGUUGUAUCUAAUCCUCCUCUACUGCCACCUAGUGUUGUAUCUAAUACUCCUCUACUGCCACCUAGUGUUGUAUCUAAUAGUCCUCUACUGCCACCUAGUGUUGUGUCUAAUACUCCUCUACUGCCACCUAGUGUUGUAUCUAAUAGUCCUCUACUGCCAACUAGUGUUGUAUCUAAUAGUCCUCUACUGCCACCUAGUGUUGUAUCUAAUAGUCCUCUACUGCCACCUAGUGUUGUGUCUAAUACUCCUCUACUGCCACCUAGUGUUGUAUCUAAUAGUCCUCUACUGCCACCUAGUGUUGUAUCUAAUCCUCCUCUACUGCCACCUAGUGUUGUAUCUAAUCCUCCUCUACUGCCACCUAGUGUUGUAUCUAAUACUCCUCUACUGCCACCUAGUGUUGUAUCUAAUCCUCCUCUACUGCCACCUAGUGUUGUAUCUAAUACUCUACUGCCACCUAGUGUUGUAUCUAAUAGUCCUCUACUGCCACCUAGUGUUGUAUCUAAUCCUCCUCUACUGCCACCUAGUGUUGUAUCUAAUCCUCCUCUACUGCCACCUAGUAUUGUGUCUAAUACUCCUCUACUGCCACCUAGUGUUGUAUCUAAUCCUCCUCUACUGCCACCUAGUGUUGUAUCUUAUACUCUACUGCCACCUAGUGUUGUAUCUAAUAGUCCUCUACUGCCACCUAGUGUUGUAUCUAAUCCUCCUCUACUGCCACCUAGUGUUGUAUCUAAUCCUCCUCUACUGCCACCUAGUGUUGUAUCUAAUACUCUACUGCCACCUAGUGUUGUAUCUAAUAGUCCUCUACUGCCACCUAGUGUUGUAUCUAAUCCUCCUCUACUGCCACCUAGUGUUGUAUCUAAUACUCCUUUACUGCCACCUAGUGUUGUGUCUAAUACUCCUCUACUGCCACCUAGUGUUGUAUCUAAUAGUCCUCUACUGCCACCUAGUGUUGUGUCUAAUACUCCUCUACUGCCACCUAGUGUUGUAUCUAAUACUCCUCUACUGCCACCUAGUGUUGUGUAUAAUAGUCCUCUACUGCCACCUAGUGUUGUGUAUAAUACUCCUCUACUGCCACCUAGUGUUGUGUCCAAUACUCCUCUACUGCCACCUAGUGUUGUAUCUAAUAGUCCUCUACUGCCACCUAGUGUUGUAA